CGCGAGUAAAGCGGCGAACGGGUGAGUAACACGUAAGUAACCUGCCUCUAAAUUCAGGAUAACCCAGCCAACGCCGGGCUAAUACUGAAUGUGAUUUUGCGGCCUCAUGGUUGCAUUAUUAAAGGUGACCUCUCCUUGGAAGUUGCCGUUUAGAGAUGGACUUGCGGACCAUUAGCUAGUUGGUGAGGUAACGGCCCACCAAGGCUACGAUGGUUAGCCGGCCUGAGAGGGUGAACGGCCACAUUGGGACUGAGAUACGGCCCAGACUCCUACGGGAGGCAGCAGUAGGGAAUUUUGCGCAAUGGGCGAAAGCCUGACGCAGCAACGCCGCGUGAGUGAUGAAGUCCUUCGGGAUGUAAAACUCUGUUGAGUGGGAAGAAAAGUCCGUUUUUUAACAGAUAACGGAUCUGACGGUACCAUUCGAGUAAGCACCGGCCAACUACGUGCCAGCAGCCGCGGUAAUACGUAGGGUGCAAGCGUUGUUCGGAAUUACUGGGCGUAAAGGGAGCGUAGGCGGAAUUAUAAGUUAGAAGUUUAAUGUACGGGCUUAACCCGUAAUCUGCUUCUAAUACUGUUUUUCUUGAGUAUGGGAGAGGGCAAUGGAAUUCCAGGUGUAGCGGUGGAAUGCGUAGAUAUCUGGAAGAACACCAGCAGCGAAGGCGGUUGCCUGGCCCAAUACUGACGCUGAGGCUCGAAAGCUAGGGGAGCAAACAGGAUUAGAUACCCUGGUAGUCCUAGCCGUAAACGAUGGACACUAGAUGCUGGGGAAGUUUUUUCCCAGUGUCGUAGUUAACGCGUUAAGUGUCCCGCCUGGGGAGUACGAUCGCAAGGUUGAAACUCAAAGGAAUUGACGGGGGCCCGCACAAGCGGUGGAGCAUGUGGUUUAAUUCGAUGCAACGCGAAGAACCUUACCUGGGUUUGACAUGGGGGUGCAAGUUUCCAGAGAUGGAGACCCUUCCGCAAGGAACGCCCUACACAGGUGCUGCAAGGUUGUCGUCAGCUCGUGUCGUGAGAUGUUGGGUUAAGUCCCGCAACGAGCGCAACCCUCGCCCUUAGUUGCCAUCAGGUAAUGCUGGGAACUCUAAGGGGACUGCCUGGUAUAACCAGGAGGAAGGCGGGGAUGACGUCAAAUCAUCAUGGCCCUUACGUCCAGGGCUACACACGUGCUACAAUGGUCGGUACAAAGGGUUGCAAGACUGCGAGGUCAAGCUAAUCCCAUAAAACCGAUCUCAGUUCGGAUUGGAGUCUGCAAUUCGACUCCAUGAAGCUGGAAUCGCUAGUAAUCGUGGAUCAGCAUGCCACGGUGAAUACGUUCCCGGGCCUUGUACACACCGCCCGUCAAGCCAU
RNAcentral lists this ribosomal RNA (1347 nucleotides) under metagenome. RNAcentral describes it as "bacterial SSU rRNA". It matches the Rfam family "Bacterial small subunit ribosomal RNA", at positions 85 to 1405 of the family's 1533-position model. The record is from RNAcentral.